UUGCUUUUUUAGAAGAAGGAGCUUGAUAUGGAUUGUUUGAAACAUUUUCCUGGCCUCUUGCAGUGGAACAUGAAAAAGUUAUUUGGUCAGAUGCUGAUAGUCCAGAGCUAUUGCGUGGAUAUUGGAUUAUAAGAAUACCAAACAAUAGGGAGCAAGGAUCUCAGAUCAUCAACCUUUAUUAUUGAGGAUUAUGCUAAAGCAGUUACAACAAAUUGGAUAAAGAUCAGUCUGGAAAAAGC
This is a long non-coding RNA of Arabidopsis lyrata subsp. lyrata, 239 nucleotides long. RefSeq lists it as uncharacterized. The record is from RefSeq and is a predicted model, not a curated record. The transcript is spliced from 3 exons. NCBI's taxonomy places the organism in Eukaryota, Viridiplantae, Streptophyta, Magnoliopsida, Brassicales, Brassicaceae.